Molecule: ribosomal RNA, 506 nt
Filed under: uncultured bacterium
Lineage: Bacteria
Description: partial 16S ribosomal RNA
Rfam family: Bacterial small subunit ribosomal RNA
Source: RNAcentral
AGUGAACGCUGGCGGUAGGCCUAACACAUGCAAGUCGAACGGCAGCACAGGAGAGCUUGCUCUCUGGGUGGCGAGUGGCGGACGGGUGAGGAAUACAUCGGAAUCUACUCUGUCGUGGGGGAUAACGUAGGGAAACUUACGCUAAUACCGCAUACGGCCUACGGGUGAAAGCAGGGGACCUUCGGGCCUUGCGCGAUUGAAUGAGCCGAUGUCGGAUUAGCUAGUUGGCGGGGUAAAGGCCCACCAAGGCGACGAUCCGUAGCUGGUCUGGGAGGAGGAGCAGCCAAACUGGAACUGAGACACGGUCCAGACUCCUACGGGAGGCAGCAGUGGGGAAUAUUGGACAAUGGGCGCAAGCCUGAUCCAGCCAUACCGCGUGGGUGAAGAAGGCCUUCGGGUUGUAAAGCCCUUUUGUUGGGAAAGAAAUCCAGCUGGCUAAUACCCGGUUGGGAUGACGGUACCCAAAGAAUAAGCACCGGCUAACUUCGUGCCAGCAGCCGCCGUAA